Molecule: unclassified non-coding RNA, 201 nt
Filed under: uncultured Chaetothyriales
Lineage: Eukaryota; Fungi; Ascomycota; Eurotiomycetes; Chaetothyriales
Description: sequence contains ITS1
Source: RNAcentral
AUGAGUUAGGGUCUCCUCAGGCCCGAUCUCCCAACCCUAUGUCUACCUUACCACUUUGUUGCUUCGGCGGGUCCGUCCUGAAAAUGGACCGCCGGAGGACUGUUUACACGUCCUCUGGCCCGUGCGCGCCGAUGGCCUCAACUCAAAACUCUUGAAUAAAACGUGUCUUAAACUCUGAGUAUAAUAUAUAUAAAAUAAGCA